UACACUCCUACGGGAGGCAGCAGUGGGGAAUUUUGGACAAUGGGCGCAAGCCUGAUCCAGCCAUGCCGCGUGCGGGAAGAAGGCCUUCGGGUUGUAAACCGCUUUUGUCAGGGAAGAAAAGGUUCUGGCUAAUACCUGGGACUCAUGACGGUACCUGAAGAAUAAGCACCGGCUAACUACGUGCCAGCAGCCGCGGUAAUACGUAGGGUGCAAGCGUUAAUCGGAAUUACUGGGCGUAAAGCGUGCGCAGGCGGUUAUGCAAGACAGAGGUGAAAUCCCCGGGCUCAACCUGGGAACUGCCUUUGUGACUGCAUGGCUAGAGUACGGUAGAGGGGGAUGGAAUUCCGCGUGUAGCAGUGAAAUGCGUAGAUAUGCGGAGGAACACCGAUGGCGAAGGCAAUCCCCUGGACCUGUACUGACGCUCAUGCACGAAAGCGUGGGGAGCAAACAGGAUUAGAAACCCCAGUAGUCCCAUGA
Molecule: ribosomal RNA, 477 nt
Filed under: uncultured organism
Description: partial 16S ribosomal RNA
Rfam family: Bacterial small subunit ribosomal RNA
Source: RNAcentral